AUGCAAACAAAAUUUGACCGAAUUAGGCGCCUAAUUCGGUGUUUUACACUUGUUCAGCUAGACGACGGGGAGGGGGUCGAUUUGAAACAAGUCGGUGAUGUCGUCGAAGAACUCAUCUGCCUGCUGCAACGUCGCCGGGGACGGCGGGCACGGGUUGUAGGCCGACGACGAGCAGUCGCUGGAGAAUGCGAAGGCCGGCUCCGGGAGGUUGGACAGGAAGUCCAUCGGCGGCUCCGCGAAGUCGGAGAGGAGGUCGAAGUCAGUGUAGAGCGGGGCCAGCUCGCCGGCGAAGUCGUCGCCGGAGAACGAGCAGCCGAAGACGCCGCUCGACUCGUCGGUCUCGGCGGUGCUGGAAGACGACGACGGCUUCUUGGAGGAGUCGUCGUCGACGGCGGCGCCCAGGGUGGACUGAGGGAAGGAGCGGAGGACGGAUGUCGGGGACGCGGCCGCGACGUGGGACUCCUCGCACGAGUCGUAGGAGGUGGCCGAGGAGGACGCGUUCUUGGAGCCCGCCGGUGGCUGCGGAAGGCGUUCGGCGACCUCGGCGGGGACCUCCAUGUCCUCCCCGUCCUCGGACUGCUGGAAGUUGACGGUGGCGUCGGGGCCGCGCAGCUUGAUGGCGGCCGAGUCGUAGACCUUGGCGGCCUCCUCGGCCGUGUCGAAGGUGCCCAGCCACACGCGGACGCGUCGCCACGGGUCGCGGAUCUCCGCGGCGUACUUACCCCAGGGGCGGCGCCGGACGCCGCGGAACCGCCGCUCGCCGCCGGCCUCGGCCUUCCUCUUCCUGACGGGAACCAUCACCCUGGGCCUCGUCGUCGCCGUCGCCGACGCGGCCUUGGCCACCGGCGCCGACUCCUCCACCUUCACCUGGACGGCGGGCUGCAGCCGGAUCUCCUGGACGUAGCGCUUGACGCGGCGCCGCUCGCCCUCCUCCUCAUCGCUGGAGGAAUCGGUGGCGUCGAAGUCGUCGCAGAAGACCCUCACCAUCUUGGGCUGCUCGCCGCCACCAAACCCCUCCUCCCCCCUGGCCGACGGCGCCACCGAACGGGACGUCACCUCGACGUGCUCCGUCCUCUUCACCGCCAUGAAAAACUCCUCCUCCAUGGGCCACAUCGAGGAAAGGAAAACACUCACCCUAAAACUCCACUCGCAUUUGCCUGCGCCCCAGACGCGGCCUACCUAAAACCCCUGAAGAAUCCCCGUAAAACCCAAGGCAGGCGGGGGCAAAGGCACCACCGCCGGCGAACUCCGGCGCGGAGGAGGUGGGGAGGGGAAGGCGAAAAGCAAAGGGCUUUUGGCCUGGACGGAAGGAGGAGAGGAGGCGAUUAG
RNAcentral lists this ribosomal RNA (1329 nucleotides) under Triticum aestivum (bread wheat). RNAcentral's name for it is "partial small subunit ribosomal RNA". The record is from RNAcentral. Lineage: Eukaryota; Viridiplantae; Streptophyta; Magnoliopsida; Poales; Poaceae.